Molecule: long non-coding RNA, 1989 nt
Organism: Ctenopharyngodon idella (grass carp)
Lineage: Eukaryota; Metazoa; Chordata; Actinopteri; Cypriniformes; Xenocyprididae
Exons: 3
Source: RefSeq, a predicted model, not a curated record
AACAACUGAAGUAGACCAAAGUGCUGUACAGAAGAAUAUAUAAACAUAAAAUACCCAACUCAUACAAGACAUAGAAUACAAAUAAAACAAAUUAAGAAACAAAUGUCAAAAUCAAGUGGCAAAGGCCAAAGAGAAAAGGUGGGUUUUAAGAAGCGACUUAAAAGAAGACAAUGAAGAGGCUUGUCUAAUGGGCAGAGGCAGAUCAUUCCACAGUUUAGGAGCUGCCACAGCAAAGGCACGGUCCCCUCUGAGCUUAUGUUUUGUUUUGGGCACAUUCAGGAGCAGUUGAUCAGCUGACCUGAGAGAACGGGUGGGUGUAUAAGGGUGUAACAGCUCAGAAAUGUAGAGUGGGGCAAGACCAUUUAAAGAUUUAAAAACAAAUAAGAGAAUUUUAAAAUGGAUCCUGAAAUUUAUGGGCAGCUAGUGAAGUGAGGCUAAAAUAGGGGAAAUGUGCUCAUAUUUGCUUGUUCCAGUUAACAGACGUGCUGCAGCGUUUUGAACCAUCUGCAGACGAGCAACAGAAGACCCACUAACCCCCACAUACAGUGCGUUACAGUAAUCCAGCCAAGUGGUGACAAAGGCAUGGAUUACUGUCUCAAAGCGUUGCCUUGAAAGAAAUGGUUUUAUUUUGGCCAGCUGCCUCAAUUGAAAAAAGCUAGAUUUAACGACUGCCCUGAUCUGACUGUCAAGCUUAAGGUCAGCGUCGAUUUUAACCCCUAGGUUAGUAAUGGUUGGUUUGUUGUACUGGGCCAAGGCCCCCAAAUCAACAGAAGGAGUCCCAGUGGUGCCACCAAAAACCAUCACCUCUGUCUUUUUUACAUUAAAACUUCCAGGCAUCCAGGCCUGUAUAUCAAGACACUCGAGUAACGGUCUGACAGUGUUGUUCUUUUUAAGAGGCACAUAAAUCUGGCUAUUGUCUGCGUAAAAAUGGAAAGACAUGCCUAGGACCUAAACCAUUCGAGCACUAUGCCCUUGAUGCCCACCCACUGCUCCAAACGUGAGAUCAGGAUUUCAUGGUCCACAGUGUCAAACACAGCAGUUAAAUCAAGAAGCACAAGAAUAACACAAUCACCAGAGUCAGUAGCUAAAAAUAUAUCAUUAAACACUUUCAAAAGAGCAGAUUCUGUGCUGUGCAAAUUUUUAAAACUGGACUGGAAAAUUUCAAGAAUAUUGUGGCCUUUCAAAAAGGCCAUUAAUAGACUGCAGACUAUCUUUUCAAGGAUUUUUGAAAGAAAAGGUAGUUUGGAAAUUUACAAGAUCUACAGGAUCCAGACCAGGUUUUUUAAUCAGAGGUUGCACUACUGCGUGUUUAAAAUUUUUAGGAACCACACCUGAGGACAGACUGCUAUUAACAACUGCAAGAACAGAUGGCCCUACAGUAGGAAAGACCUCUUUAAAAAGUCGAGGAGAAACAGCAUCAUGUGGAGAACCUGAGGGCUUCAAAUGAUCAACAAAUCUCCUGUAACACAGACAAGGUCACAGGCUCAAACCUGUCAAAAACAGCAGAACAGAGGACAGGGAUUGAGGGGUCAUAAGCAUAUAUAAUCCUAUAUAUUCUAUAUAUAACCACUUGAGAAAUGUAUAAACAUGUAUCCAAUUUUCCCAUCUCAUGAUUUUCCUUUUAUAGGCUUUGGCCUAUGUAUUAAUUCUCUCUUUUGAACUCUUUCGGUAUUAUUGUUUCAGAGUUGCAUACUAUGGUUAACUAAAAUCACAUGGGUAGCAUGUUUGGUAUCGAUGGACUCCAACUUUCGUUUCCUAUUUGAACAAAGACUCAUAAAGUUUCCUCCGAGGGAACAACUCUUUAUUGGCUCAGUCACUUUAAGAAGAAGCUUCUAAGGAACUCCAAGCUUGUGCCAGGCUCUGGCCUAGACUUUCCAUUCACCAAAGAUCCUCUGAAUCCAACUGGUUCUCUUUCAUCAAGACAACAUCAACAAAGAUCAACGGGAGCCUCUACAAAUUGCAUCAGGACAGUUUAAUCCAAAUUGGCGA